ACUUGAAAUUAUUAAGAAAAAAUUUUUUUAUUGCUUAACUCUGAUCCCUACUAUGCGUGUGUGUGCUCUCUCUGUAGUAAAUUGUAGUUGUAUAUAAACCGAUAAACCAAACCAAGAAAAAUAUUUCAGCGGACACAACAACUUACGAUGGCAACGAACGACAACGAACACAACGUCGGUCGCAAGUGCACAAGCCAUUUUGUAUGUCCACGGACAGAAAUGUAUGUGAUUAACACCAAAGUAAGAUUUUUUCAGCAAAUCAGCGUUAAUGCGCACAGGGUUGUAAAUAUUCGUAGCUUGCUGAAUACGAAAAAGGAGUGAACAUGUCAUGCUUUCUAGCAACCCUGUAUCCUUGGACAAAACCGAGCACAAUGAUGCAUUUGUUUUAAUAUUAUAACUACAAAUACAUUUUUAGUAUAAAUUAUAUCGAAAUCAUUUUUGUACCCAAUUGAUGUAUUCUUGUAAAAACAAUAAGUAAUUUUUCAAUAAAGAUAUAUACCAAACAAAAACUUAAA
Stomoxys calcitrans (stable fly) is the source of this 515-nucleotide long non-coding RNA. RefSeq lists it as uncharacterized. The transcript is spliced from 2 exons. Lineage: Eukaryota; Metazoa; Arthropoda; Insecta; Diptera; Muscidae. The record is from RefSeq and is a predicted model, not a curated record.